UUGCACGCUGGCGGCAGGCCUAACACAUGCCAGUCGAACGGUAACAGGAAGAAGCUUGCUUCUUUGCUGACGAGUGGCGGACGGGUGAGUAAUGUCUGGGAAACUGCCUGAUGGAGGGGGAUAAUUACUGGAAACGGUAGCUAAUACCGCAUAACGUCGCAAGACCAAAGAGGGGUACCUUCGGGCCUCUUGCCAUCGGAUGUGCCCAGAUGGGAUUAGCUAGUAGGUGGGGUAACGGCUCACCUAGGCGACGAUCCCUAGCUGGUCUGAGAGGAUGACCAGCCACACUGGAACUGAGACACGGUCCAGACUCCUACGGGAGGCAGCAGUGGGGAAUAUUGCACAAUGGGCGCAAGCCUGAUGCAGCCAUGCCGCGUGUAUGAAGAAGGCCUUCGGGUUGUAAAGUACUUUCAGCGGGGAGGAAGGGAGUAAAGUUAAUACCUUUGCUCAUUGACGUUACCCGCAGAAGAAGCACCGGCUAACUCCGUG
RNAcentral lists this ribosomal RNA (489 nucleotides) under uncultured bacterium. Its description in RNAcentral is "partial 16S ribosomal RNA". It matches the Rfam family "Bacterial small subunit ribosomal RNA", at positions 30 to 507 of the family's 1533-position model. The record is from RNAcentral.